RNAcentral lists this transfer RNA (84 nucleotides) under Verrucomicrobiota bacterium. RNAcentral's name for it is "tRNA-Leu". It matches the Rfam family "tRNA". Rfam says of the family: Transfer RNA (tRNA) molecules are approximately 80 nucleotides in length. Their secondary structure includes four short double-helical elements and three loops (D, anti-codon, and T loops). RNAcentral also lists the same sequence under 2 other names. Lineage: Bacteria; Pseudomonadati; Verrucomicrobiota. The record is from RNAcentral.
GCUCACGUGGCGGAAUUGGUAGACGCGCUAGAUUCAGGUUCUAGUCCAUGCAAGUGGGUGAAGGUUCGAGUCCUUUCGUGAGCA